AACGCUGGCGGCGUGCCUAAUACAUGCAAGUCGAGCGAACAGACGAGGAGCUUGCUCCUCUGACGUUAGCGGCGGACGGGUGAGUAACACGUGGAUAACCUACCUAUAAGACUGGGAUAACUUCGGGAAACCGGAGCUAAUACCGGAUAAUAUAUUGAACCGCAUGGUUCAAUAGUGAAAGACGGUUUUGCUGUCACUUAUAGAUGGAUCCGCGCCGCAUUAGCUAGUUGGUAAGGUAACGGCUUACCAAGGCAACGAUGCGUAGCCGACCUGAGAGGGUGAUCGGCCACACUGGAACUGAGACACGGUCCAGACUCCUACGGGAGGCAGCAGUAGGGAAUCUUCCGCAAUGGGCGAAAGCCUGACGGAGCAACGCCGCGUGAGUGAUGAAGGUCUUCGGAUCGUAAAACUCUGUUAUUAGGGAAGAACAAAUGUGUAAGUAACUAUGCACGUCUUGACGGUACCUAAUCAGAAAGCCACGGCUAACUACGUGCCAGCAGCCGCGGUAAUACGUAGGUGGCAAGCGUUAUCCGGAAUUAUUGGGCGUAAAGCGCGCGUAGGCGGUUUUUUAAGUCUGAUGUGAAAGCCCACGGCUCAACCGUGGAGGGUCAUUGGAAACUGGAAAACUUGAGUGCAGAAGAGGAAAGUGGAAUUCCAUGUGUAGCGGUGAAAUGCGCAGAGAUAUGGAGGAACACCAGUGGCGAAGGCGACUUUCUGGUCUGUAACUGACGCUGAUGUGCGAAAGCGUGGGGAUCAAACAGGAUUAGAUACCCUGGUAGUCCACGCCGUAAACGAUGAGUGCUAAGUGUUAGGGGGUUUCCGCCCCUUAGUGCUGCAGCUAACGCAUUAAGCACUCCGCCUGGGGAGUACGA
This 872-nucleotide ribosomal RNA is filed under the name Staphylococcus epidermidis. Its description in RNAcentral is "bacterial SSU rRNA". It matches the Rfam family "Bacterial small subunit ribosomal RNA", at positions 32 to 885 of the family's 1533-position model. Lineage: Bacteria; Bacillati; Bacillota; Bacilli; Caryophanales; Staphylococcaceae. The record is from RNAcentral.